Regulatory RNA element from Orchesella cincta, 114 nucleotides. It matches the Rfam family "Potassium channel RNA editing signal". Rfam says of the family: This family represents a group of sequences related to the human potassium channel Kv1.1 hairpin element which directs the efficient modification of an adenosine to inosine by an adenosine deaminase acting on RNA (ADAR). The ADAR modification causes an isoleucine/valine recoding event which lies in the ion-conducting pore of the potassium channel. Lineage: Eukaryota; Metazoa; Arthropoda; Collembola; Entomobryomorpha; Orchesellidae. The record is from Rfam.
GUCGGGUACGGAGACAUGUACCCUACGACCACGGUCGGGAAACUCAUCGGAUCCAUCUGCUGUGUUUGUGGUGUGCUCGUCAUCGCGUUACCCAUUCCCAUCAUCGUCAAUAAC